Molecule: small nucleolar RNA, 86 nt
Organism: Cicer arietinum (chickpea)
Lineage: Eukaryota; Viridiplantae; Streptophyta; Magnoliopsida; Fabales; Fabaceae
Product: small nucleolar RNA R11/Z151
Source: RefSeq, a predicted model, not a curated record
UGGCUUAUGAUGAUAAUUUAACUAUCUUAGCGGAUUUCAGUGAGAUUGUUUUAUCAAGGAUCUGAAUGUUACACACACUGAAGCCA